UGCAGUCGAACGAAGUAGCAAUACUUAGUGGCAGACGGGUGAGUAACAUGUAGGUAUCUGCCCUUUGGCCUGGAAUAACACGAGGAAACUUGUGCUAAUACCGGAUAAGUCUUUACGGAGAAAGCUUUAUGCACCAUUGGGUGAGCCUGCACUUGAUUAGUUUGUUGGUGGGGUAAUGGCCUACCAAGACUGUGAUCAAUAGCUGAUUUGAGAGGAUGAUCAGCCACAUUGGGACUGAGACACGGCCCAAACUCCUACGGGAGGCAGCAGUGGGGAAUCUUGCACAAUGGAGGAAACUCUGAUGCAGCGAUGCCGCGUGAGUGAAGAAGGCCCUUGGGUUGUAAAGCUCUUUCGUCGGGGAAGAAAAUGACUGUACCCGAAUAAGAAGGUCCGGCUAACUUCGUGCCAGCAGCCGCGGUAAUACGAAGGGACCUAGCGUAGUUCGGAAUUACUGGGCUUAAAGAGUUCGUAGGUGGUUGAAAAAGUUAGUGGUGAAAUCCCAGAGCUUAACUCUGGAACUGCCAUUAAAACUUUUCGGCUAGAGUAUGAUAGAGGAAAGCAGAAUUUCUAGUGUAGAGGUGAAAUUCGUAGAUAUUAGAAAGAAUACCAAUUGCGAAGGCAGCUUUCUGGAUCAUUACUGACACUGAGGAACGAAAGCAUGGGUAGCGAAGAGGAUUAGAUACCCUCGUAGUCCAUGCCGUANACGAUGUGUGUUAGACGUUGGAAAUUUAUUUUCAGUGUCGCAGCGAAAGCGAUAAACACACCGCCUGGGGAGUACGACCGCAAGGUUAAAACUCAAAUGAAUUGACGGGGACCCGCACAAGUAGUGGAGCAUGUGGUUUAAUUCGAAGAUACGCGCAGAACCUUACCAACACUUGACAUGUUCGUCGCGACUC
Molecule: ribosomal RNA, 896 nt
Filed under: uncultured marine bacterium
Lineage: Bacteria
Description: bacterial SSU rRNA
Rfam family: Bacterial small subunit ribosomal RNA
Source: RNAcentral